CUCGGCAUUCGCCCUCCCCGACGGUGGACGGUCCGCCAAGGCUGCCAGUGACGUGUAGGCUGCUGCCCCCGCGACACGACCUCGGAUAAGCGGGAGAAGAUGGAUGGAUGGACGAUGACUUUUCCCAUGUGGGCGGCACCAGCCUCCCUCCAAUUAAGGCACGUAUGCGAGCGUGCGUCGCUAAAGAUGUGGUCCUGCGGUCAUAAAUCAACACCACCUGGCCUUCAAAGGCAACUCGGAGGAACGUAAACAUCGCCUCCACACUAGCAAGAGUCUACUGGCCAGACACCAUCACCAAUGCCAACCUGUGGGAACUCACCACACCAGAACCAGUGGAACUGCCAAUCAGGAAAAGGAAGUGGAGCUGGAUAGGCCACACACUCAGAAAACCCAAUAAAUCAAGCACCAAACAGGCACUAACAUGGGGAAAAAGAAACAGAGGGAGACCAAGAACAACCUGGAGAAGAAGCACGGAACAGGAGAUGAGAGCUGAGGGGCUGUCAUGGCAACCACUCCACCGAAGGGCACGAGACCGGAAUGGAUGGAAGGCUUUCGUCGGCGGCCUAUGUUCCUCAGAGAAUACUAAGGCCUAAGUAAGUAAGUAAGUACACUUUAAUCACCUCAAAUAAUGAAACAAAAUAUUAUAUCAUUAUACAUACAGUUAUUGUUCAAAUAAAGAUACAAACUGAAAUAUCUGCUUGACUUAUGAUUUCAAAGCAAGUUAUCCAACAAACUGUUCAUGUAAAA
This is a long non-coding RNA of Entelurus aequoreus (snake pipefish), 747 nucleotides long. RefSeq lists it as uncharacterized. The transcript has 3 exons. The record is from RefSeq and is a predicted model, not a curated record. Lineage: Eukaryota; Metazoa; Chordata; Actinopteri; Syngnathiformes; Syngnathidae.